AGGAAAUAGAUACCCGGGUAGUCCCAGCUGUAAACGAUGCAGGCUAGGUGUUUGGACGGCCACGUGCCGUUCUAGUGCCGCAGGGAAGCUGUUAAGCCUGCCGCCUGGGGAGUACGAUCGCAAGAUUGAAACUUAAAGGAAUUGGCGGGGGAGCACCACAAGGGGUGAAGCUUGCGGUUUAAUUGGAGUCAACGCCGGAAAUCUCACCGGGAGCGACAGCAGUGUGAAGGCCAGAUUAAAGGUCUUGCCAGACGAGCUGAGAGGAGGUGCAUGGCCGUCGCCAGUUCGUGCCGUGAGGCGUCCUGUUAAGUCAGGCAACGAUCGAGACCCGCAUCCUCUGUUGCAACCAGUUUUGAGCUGGGCACACUGAGGAGACCGCCACUGAUAAAGUGGAGGAAGGAGCGGGCCACGGCAGGUCAGUAUGCCCCGGAAUCUCCCGGGCCACACGCGAGCUGCAAUGGCAGGUACAAUGGGUUCCGACCUCGAAAGGGG
This 492-nucleotide ribosomal RNA is filed under the name uncultured bacterium. RNAcentral's name for it is "bacterial SSU rRNA". It matches the Rfam family "Archaeal small subunit ribosomal RNA", at positions 725 to 1220 of the family's 1478-position model. The record is from RNAcentral.